UACGUAGGGUGCAAGCGUUAAUCGGAAUUACUGGGCGUAAAGCGUGCGCAGGCGGUUAUGUAAGACAGAUGUGAAAUCCCCGGGCUCAACCUGGGAAUGGCGAUGAAGACUGCAAGGCUAGAAUCUGGCAGAGGGGGGUAGAAUUCCACGUGUAGCAGUGAAAUGCGUAGAGAUGUGGAGGAACACCGAUGGCGAAGGCAGCCUCCUGGGCCAGCACUGACGCUCAUGCACGAAAGCGUGGGGAGCAAACAGG
RNAcentral lists this ribosomal RNA (253 nucleotides) under uncultured bacterium. Its description in RNAcentral is "partial 16S ribosomal RNA". It matches the Rfam family "Bacterial small subunit ribosomal RNA", at positions 524 to 776 of the family's 1533-position model. The record is from RNAcentral.